This 294-nucleotide unclassified non-coding RNA is filed under the name uncultured fungus. RNAcentral describes it as "partial contains small subunit ribosomal RNA, internal transcribed spacer 1, and 5.8S ribosomal RNA". The stretch from base 1 to 73 matches the Rfam family "Eukaryotic small subunit ribosomal RNA", at positions 1759 to 1831 of the family's 1831-position model. Lineage: Eukaryota; Fungi. The record is from RNAcentral.
UCAAACUUGGUCAUUUAGAGGAAGUAAAAGUCGUAACAAGGUUUCCGUAGGUGAACCUGCGGAAGGAUCAUUAUAAAAAUCAUAUAUUAUACAACCCAAACCCCUAUUGUGCACUAUUGUUGUGAGUGAGUAAGUGCCCCUAUUUGAAUAGGGGUACUGAAAGCUUACAAACUUUUUUAUUAUUAUUACACUCCAAAUACAUAAGGUUAUUUGCAUGUGUUUAUUAUACACAGUUAUAUCAAUAUAACUUUCAGCAACGGAUCUCUUGGCUCUUGCAUCGAUGAAGAACGCAGC